AGUCCGCGGCACUUUCACGUUGAUCGCUUCGUCUUUGAUCUGUGCCGUCGGGCAUGAUGCACCCUCCCUCAGAGUUCACGCCGGACACGAUGCUCCAUCUACAUCCACUGGCUUUUAAUCUCCCUCUGGAGCAAGCGUCACCAGCGACCCUCGUAAUGGACGGCCUCCCACUCAUUUGUGCCUUUUACUGUUGUACAGGUAAGCGAUGGAGUUUUUGUGACACAAACUCCUGCACAUACGUCUCCAUACUACUGAAAUUUGAGCUAUAUUUAGUUGUGAAUGGUCAUGUGUAUAUCAGUUGCUGAUUUUGCAAUUAGCGCAGUUUAAUUUAGCUAAUACCUGUACAUGACGAAUGGGUAUGUCGGUCCGAUCUUCAGUUUAGAUAGGCAAGCAGGCAUCGCUGUACGCAAAAAAUAAAAGGCAAGCAAGCAAUGCAUAUAUCAACAACAAGGAAUUGGUCUCUAGCGUUCUGGUGUUCAUUUGACUAUAGACAUAGAUUUACAUUCCGUGGGAAUUAUGCCGUGUGUGUGUGGGCAGUUUAGGGAGUUUGCUGCAAAUGUUGCUCGGUUGGGAAACCUGUGCAGUGAUCCCAAAUGGCACAAGUUGAAUCAGCAUUUCUCGAGGUUGAAGUGUGAACCCACUGUGGUGGAUGGAUGGAUGGAGGGAGGAUAACGACACUUCAGAAAUACUCUAAAGAAGCAGCAGCAUCCAGUAUGUACUAUGUAGGAUCUCAGUUCGUUUGUGGUGGAUGGAUGGAGGGGGGGAGGUGAAGUGGGAUGGAUGGAGGGGGGAGGUGAAGUGAGAUGGAUUGGGCAGUCUACUGUGUUUGAUUUGUUUAGGUGGAAACAUUCUUGACCACUGACUCAUAGCUGAUGCUGAUUUCUGAUCAUCUGGCAAGGAGGUCUCUAUGGCAAGUCCAAGAUGGCGUCAAAGAAGUAAUCUAUUGUGAUGUCCUUUGUUGCAUGUUGUACUCGGUACUUCAGUACUUAUCUUGCACCACAUUAGUUAAUCUCAUUGAGUUUUGAUCUUUAUGUCAUGUUUUCUUGCGCGGAAGGACUAAUGCAAGACAAUCUUGACAUGAUUUGCACCGGACCAACUGUUUUGAUUUAUCACGUUGAUGUCAUGAGCACAGCUCCAGUCAUGCUACUUUCCUUGUGGACAAAACUUUGCUCAGCUAUUGUUUGUAACCAUUUAAUUUGUUGGGUACUUUU
Non-coding RNA from Aegilops tauschii subsp. strangulata, 1211 nucleotides. The record is from RefSeq and is a predicted model, not a curated record. Lineage: Eukaryota; Viridiplantae; Streptophyta; Magnoliopsida; Poales; Poaceae.